RNAcentral lists this long non-coding RNA (670 nucleotides) under Macaca nemestrina (pig-tailed macaque). Its description in RNAcentral is "lncRNA (ENSMNEG00000045697.1)". The record is from RNAcentral. Lineage: Eukaryota; Metazoa; Chordata; Mammalia; Primates; Cercopithecidae.
GGGGCGACCUGAGGGACCGAACUGCGUGUUGUAUGACAUGGAGUGCUGACCGAAAAUCCCCCUACUUUUAAAAACUGGGGGCCAUGGAGAACAAAGAAGAGUUCAGUAUCUUGUCGCGGUACCAGAGAGCCUGCAGUAGUGCAGGCAGGCACCAGAAGGAGCAAGAGAUUAUGAGAAUCUGAAAAAGUGGCAAACCUCUGGAACUAGAAAAUGACAUGCACAAGACCAGAGAAGAUGUGUCCCCACAAAGGUUAGCGAGGCCCUCAGAAUAUCUAGCAAGGCCCAUUGGUGCAAUUCUGCCCCGUAUGAAGCCGGGGAAUGAAUCUCCAGAAACUGACCCUAAUGUCCAUGGAGAAUGUGAACAGAACAAAUGAGGCGUCAAGAAGAACUCAGACGCUUGGAAGAACUCUGAAACCAGGAGUUGCAAAAACAGAAGCAAAUACAACUAAGUGGAAGAAAUCACCAUAUCUUUUAAUCAGUGGACUCAGAUUUAGCAGGAGUGUUAUGCAACUAAUAAGAACAAGUUUCAGACAUGAAGAGGAGCAUCGGCGGCGUGAGGAAGAAAUGAUCUGACACAGAGAACAGAAGGAACUGAGGCCACAGCAAAGAAGGCUUUAAGCAAAAGCUACAUGGAAAUGAUUAAGUAAACUACUAGUUCAACUAAAAUGAU